This 497-nucleotide ribosomal RNA is filed under the name uncultured bacterium. RNAcentral's name for it is "partial 16S ribosomal RNA". It matches the Rfam family "Bacterial small subunit ribosomal RNA", at positions 28 to 507 of the family's 1533-position model. The record is from RNAcentral.
GAUGAACGCUGGCGGCGUGCCUAAUACAUGCAAGUCGAGCGAACAGACGAGGAGCUUGCUCCUCUGAUGUUAGCGGCGGACGGGUGAGUAACACGUGGAUAACCUACCUAUAAGACUGGGAUAACUUCGGGAAACCGGAGCUAAUACCGGAUACGAUGUUGAACCGCAUGGUUCAACAGUGAAAGACGGUCUUUCUGUCACUUAUAGCUGGCUCCGCGCCGCAUUAGCUAGUUGGUAAGGUAACGGCUUACCAAGGCAACGAUGCGUAGCCGACCUGAGAGGGGGAUCGCCCACACGGGAACGGAGACACGGUCCAGACUCCUAAGGGAGGCAGCAGUAGGGAAUCUUCCGCAAUGGGCGAAAGCCUGACGGAGCAACGCCGCGUGAGUGAAGAAGGUCUUCGGAUCGUAAAACUCUGUUAUUAGGGAAGAACAAAUGUGUAAGUAAAUAUGCACGUCUUGACGGUACCUAAUCAGAAAGCCACGGCUAACUACGUG